UACGUAGGGGGCUAGCGUUGUCCGGAAUCAUUGGGCGUAAAGCGCGUGUAGGCGGUCCGGUAAGUCCGCUGUGAAAGUCGGGGGCUCAACCCUCGGAUGCCGGUGGAUACUGUCGGGCUUGAGUACGGAAGAGGCGAGUGGAAUUCCUGGUGUAGCGGUGAAAUGCGCAGAUAUCAGGAGGAACACCGGUGGCGAAGGCGGAUCUCUGGGCCUUACCUGACGCUGAGGCGCGAAAGCUAGGGGAGCGAACAGG
Molecule: ribosomal RNA, 253 nt
Filed under: uncultured bacterium
Lineage: Bacteria
Description: partial 16S ribosomal RNA
Rfam family: Bacterial small subunit ribosomal RNA
Source: RNAcentral